This is a long non-coding RNA of Oryzias latipes (Japanese medaka), 965 nucleotides long. RefSeq lists it as uncharacterized. NCBI's taxonomy places the organism in Eukaryota, Metazoa, Chordata, Actinopteri, Beloniformes, Adrianichthyidae. The record is from RefSeq and is a predicted model, not a curated record.
UUAGCCUGGUUCUAGGCGGCCAUUUGUUUCACCCAAAGGCCGAUGACCACAAAGUGAUCAUAUCUUUUGCUUUAGUAACAUUUUUUAGGUGUUUUUUUUAAGCCUCUGUAAAAUUCUUUUGUCUGCUUGCAUGUGUUCAACAUUAGUUUCAGAUCUUUAUUUUUCUUUCAGUUUAUGUUUUUAGUUUUUUUCUUUAAAAAACAUCUUAAGGGGUAAACAACUAAAAGCAGUUAUCUAAAGAAUUGAUGUUAAUAACAGUUCUAGUUUUUUUAUUUCAGAUUUACAUGUUUUAGGAUGCAGAAAACAUUUUAGCUUGAGCUGAUGCCACCUGGAGGAUACAGAGGAGGCGGUGAAGCUCCGAUUUCUACGGUGGCCCUGAAGUACAAAUCAACAAAUCACUCAUCACAAAAACACAUCAAAGAUCACAAUGACAAUUAAGAAAAGCAAAACUAAAUUCUAGAAGCCAAAAUGUAUUUAAAAAAAUAAAUCUCUCUCUCUCUCUCUCUCUCUAUAUAUAUAUAUGUAACCCGGAUCAGUGCCCCACUUGCAUUACCAGAUUUGAAACACCUGAGCGCUCUUAUUUUGGUGGGGCCAGUUCCCUAUAUUAACAUCCGGGUCACAUAGCCACUUCCUGUCAUCCAUGCUCUGGCUGUUGCUGAUCUGCUGUGGCUGGCUGCAUCUCCUAUAGCUGUCGGCUAUCUAAACUUGAAACAAAACUCUGUAACAUCUUACUGGACUAGUUCUUCGAACAACCACACCUUGAACUAACUACUCUUCGGUCAGGUUUUUUUUUCCACCCCCACUUCUAUCCUUAUGGGAAGAACUUUUUGAUCUGCACCAUAUAGGAAUGGUGCAUGGCGAGCUACCCACGAACUCUCAAUGAAAAACUUGAUUUACGAACCUAGGAAAAAGGAACUUCGCAAAAGACGCCAUACCCAAAGGAAAAAGGAACUUUGAACACCAAA